RNAcentral lists this ribosomal RNA (305 nucleotides) under uncultured bacterium. RNAcentral's name for it is "bacterial SSU rRNA". It matches the Rfam family "Bacterial small subunit ribosomal RNA", at positions 334 to 655 of the family's 1533-position model. The record is from RNAcentral.
AACACCCUACGGGGGGCAGCAGUGGGGAAUAUUGCACAAUGGGGGGAACCCUGAUGCAGCGACGCCGCGUGGGUGAAGGAGUACUUCGGUACGUAAAGCCCUAUCAGCAGGAAAGAAAAUGACGGUACCUGACUAAGAAGCCCCGGCUAACUACGUGCCAGCAGCCGCGGUAAUACGUAGGGGGCAAGCGUUAUCCGGAAUUAUUGGGUGUAAAGGGUGCGUAGACGGGACAGCAAGUUAGUUGUGAAAGCCCUCGGCUUAACUGAGGAACUGCAACUAAAACUAUUGUUCUUGAGUGCAGGAGA